GACGAACGCUGGCGGCGUGCUUAACACAUGCAAGUCGAACGGAAAGGCCCUCGCUUGCGGGGGUGCUCGAGUGGCGAACGGGUGAGUAACACGUGGGUGAUCUGCCCCUGACUUUGGGAUAAGCCUGGGAAACUGGGUCUAAUACCGGAUAUGACCUCUUGCUGCAUGGUGGGGGGUGGAAAGUUUUUGCGGUUGGGGAUGGGCCCGCGGCCUAUCAGCUUGUUGGUGGGGUAAUGGCCUACCAAGGCGACGACGGGUAGCCGACCUGAGAGGGUGAUCGGCCACACUGGGACUGAGACACGGCCCAGACUCCUACGGGAGGCAGCAGUGGGGAAUAUUGCACAAUGGGCGCAAGCCUGAUGCAGCGACGCCGCGUGAGGGAUGACGGCCUUCGGGUUGUAAACCUCUUUCACCAUCGACGAAGCCUUUCGGGGUGACGGUAGGUGGAGAAGAAGCACCGGCCAACUACGUGCCAGCAGCCGCAGUAA
This 488-nucleotide ribosomal RNA is filed under the name uncultured bacterium. Its description in RNAcentral is "partial 16S ribosomal RNA". It matches the Rfam family "Bacterial small subunit ribosomal RNA", at positions 28 to 523 of the family's 1533-position model. The record is from RNAcentral.